GAGUAGUAAUAGUUAUAGUCUUGAAACUUAAAGAAUUUGGCGGUAUUUUAGUCUAUUUAGAGGAAUCUGUUCUGUAAUCGAUAGUCCACGUUGAACCUUACUUAAAUUUAAAUUCAAUAUGUAUACCGUUGUUAUAAAUUAUUUUAUUAGAAAAAUAAUUUUUAUAAUUUAAUUAAAAUAUAUCAGAUCAAGGUGCAGUUUAUAUUUAAGUUAGAAAUGGAUUACAAUAAUAUUAAUUAAAUGAAUAUAAAAAUGAAAUUUUUUAUUGAAAGUGGAUUUAAUAGUAAAUUUAUAAAGAUUAUUAAGUUGAUUAUAGCUCUAAAAUAUGU
This 329-nucleotide ribosomal RNA is filed under the name Cyphomyia notabilis. RNAcentral's name for it is "partial 12S ribosomal RNA". Lineage: Eukaryota; Metazoa; Arthropoda; Insecta; Diptera; Stratiomyidae. The record is from RNAcentral.